CUACGGGUUGCUGCAGUGAGGAAUAUUGCACAAUGGGGGGAACCCUGAUGCAGCAACGCCGCGUGGAGGAUGACGCAUUUCGGUGUGUAAACUCCUUUUAUAUGUCAAGAAAAUGACGGUAGCAUAUGAAUAAGCACCGGCUAACUCCGUGCCAGCAGCCGCGGUAAUACGGUGGGUGCAAGCGUUACUCGGAAUCACUGGGCGUAAAGGACGCGUAGGCGGGUUGGAAAGUCAGGUGUGAAAUCCUACAGCUUAACUGUAGAACUGCACUUGAAACUUCUAAUCUAGAGUAUGGGAGGGGGAGAUGGAAUUAGUGGUGUAGGGGUAAAAUCCGUAGAUAUCACUAGGAAUACCUAAAGCGAAGGCGAUCUCCUGGAACAUUACUGACGCUAAGGCGUGAAAGCGCGGGGAGCAAACAGGAUUAGAUACCCUGGUAGUC
RNAcentral lists this ribosomal RNA (439 nucleotides) under uncultured bacterium. RNAcentral describes it as "partial 16S ribosomal RNA". It matches the Rfam family "Bacterial small subunit ribosomal RNA", at positions 339 to 795 of the family's 1533-position model. The record is from RNAcentral.